Molecule: long non-coding RNA, 3441 nt
Organism: Passer domesticus (house sparrow)
Lineage: Eukaryota; Metazoa; Chordata; Aves; Passeriformes; Passeridae
Exons: 10
Source: RefSeq, a predicted model, not a curated record
CAGCAUGAUUUACCACAUCACAUCACAGCAGCUCAGUACUGAUUAUAUAUAGAGCAAAGUGUGGACUCGUCAUGUCACAUUUAUUUGAAAAGGCACUUCAUUGGUGUAAAUCCUCAUGGAAGAUAUUGCAGCUAUGACAGUUUACACCAACACCUAAGCUUCCCUGGAAAUAACACAACAAAGCAGCAAUGUUAGUGACCAGUAGAGAAUUAUUAAAGGAACACAGAUAAUUGGAAGAAAAUAAAUGACCUGGGUAGAAGAGCUACUAUAAAAUGAAGUGCAGAUGGGAGAUGGAGAUGCUCAGAACCUCCUGGUAGUAUGCUACUUUCCAGUUCCACAGCUUCAUUUUUCUGCACUUCUACUGUUCAGCAUAAAAUCGUAAUGGUUUGAGUGCUUUUCAAAAAACAGGAAUGAUUAAGUACAUUCAUACUCAAAGAUCCUGAGAAAUUGACUCAUCUUAUAUGCUAUGGGAAGGAAUUUAAGGGUAUGGCCCCAAAACCUGUGCUCUGAUCAUCAGUCAAAAGCUCUGCUUCUUAUGCUCUGUCCCUCUUGAUCAGUGAGAAAAGAGAGGCAAAAGAGGAGCAUGGAAGUGGCUGGGGACCUAGCUGCAAGUCACAGCAAGGGCAUUUAAAAAUUAAAGGCAGGCAAGGAAAGCAUCCUCCAAGCACUUGGUUGUCAAGCUGGAGAUGGUGAUGUUCUAUAACCAGGAAGAAAUGAUGGUGAUGUGCAGUUCUGGGGCAGCUCUGCUGAGCCCAUUGCAGAAGGGACAGGGGGAGCUGCCAAGUAGCUGCCUAAGUAAUUUUUCUUAUGGAGACAUCUCUGCACAUUUCUGCCCCUCCAGACAGGUCCUGCUCACCCUCUACUUGGCCAGGUAUGCAACCUGCAAAGGGAACCCCCGGCUCCCAGCCCUCAGCAGAGAUGUGCCUCCAUACAACGCCAGGCCUCUCACCCCUCAGGAUGAAGACAGCAGCUGGGAAAAACAGAAAAAGAAAAGAAAAAGGAGAUUUUCUUCUUCAUUUGUAAAUUUUCUGAGUUUAAAGACACAUGACUUCGAUGUUACUGAAGAUUGUGUCAUAAUCAUCAAACGGAGCUGGUGCCAAAUAAACCAGAUGGAGCUUUCAAUCAACAAACUGCAUUUAUUAUUGAUAUCUGUGUCUUAUUUGUUAUCCAUGCACCUUUUAACAGGAUAAGAUUAAAGACAGAGUUUAAGACUGACGUAUGAAGACUAUUCCACAGAAUUCAGAUUCUGCAUGGGGAGUUAAUAUCUGAGUAUGGGCGAGUCACCUCUGUGGACUGAUCUGGUGGGCCCAGGCCAGUGCCACUCACCUCUCCACACCCAGCACUGUAAUCAGCAAGUCUCUACACAGAGCAGAAGAGUUAAGCAAUCAGGAUGACUUAACUAUCAACUUGACCUUUGAGAUCCCUUCAGAACAGGUUUGAUCCACACUGAUUUACUUUAUCCUUCAAACCAUCAGAUCUGUAUUAAAACCCUGAUUGACCAGAAGUAAUUAUUUGAUGCCUUAUGUUAGCAAUGUCCCAAGGCCCAGCAUGAAAACUGGGGAUGAAAGUCACACCUUACUGAAGUCAAAGGGAGAAUUACUUUCAGAGGAACUGAAAUUUCACCCAAAAAAAUCAUACCAACAGUGUUUGGGUCCUAUCUAUGUCUGAAGGCAUGUGAAUCUUUCUAUGGUGCCCAUCAUAUUAUGUGAAAGGUAUCUCACAAGCUACUCUGAUGUAUUUAAAAAUAGGAGAAUUUACUGAAAAAAAAAGUAGAGUGAUAAAUUAUGUACUGUUUUACUACAAAAUACUGUGCCACCUGAUAUGAUAAUUGUACUGUUCUGUCAUUCCUUUGGUAAUGAAAGUCUUCAUUUAUUUGUAUGUUAUUUUUUUACUGAACAUGAGGAGUACAUAGGGGGAAAAAUGCAAAAUCAACAUUAGACAUUUGUGAUAAUGGCAUUUGUUAUCAUGCAGGCUUAGGAGCAAUUAACAUAGACAUUUGUGAUAAUGACCAACAUAUAUCCUUGGAUUUCCAUAACUACUUAGUAACUUUAGUAAUUUAUUUUCCUCCCUUAAAAUUCCUUCAAAGGUCAUUUCCAUAACCCGCCACUUUCUGGGGCAGGUGAAUCAGCUGCCUUUUUAACUCCCUGUUUUUUCUCUAGGGAUAGUUUUCUACCUAUAUCUUGAUCCAAGCAGGUUGGAUUCUUUCCAAAAACUGCUGAAAAACUAGACCUCUCUGUCAUGUAGGUGAAGCACUGAUAUGCAGUUAACUCAGUAUAGUUCAAGUAUCAGGAUUUCUAGGAUAAUAUCACAUGAUUCUAGGAUGGAUACAUUCUGCAGGCACCAGUUUGUCGCUGAAGAUACUAAUCACAGAAGAAAGUGGUAUAGAAACUCAUAUUGAUGUUUUGCCUUUCCAAAGGAAGUGGAUGACAGCAAAGCAUAAUUCAAGGUCUGGUUGCCAACAUACUCAAUUAAGCAGAAUUUGGAGGAGGAGGAGAAGGAGGAGGGGAUGGCUGGAAACUCCCAGUCAUACUACAAAUGUCAGCUAUCUGCUGUCAGAGAAAUGGUGACGUUGAACCAAACUGUGAAAUAUGAGUAAUUCUUCAAAUAUUGCUGAUGAUGUAGCACCAGAUUUUUAUUUUUUUCCAUGUGCAUGUGACUGCUUUUGACCAUGACAGGUUUUCAUAAAUCUGGUGUCAUUAUAGAACACAUGACUUGUGUCACCACUGCUACAACAAGACAAAUCCAUCACAGAUCAAAGUGCCAGGAAAAGUCCUAUUCACAAUAUAAGCCCCACUUAAGCUUUCCAAAUACAGCUUGAGUGGAAUUUAAGUGGGCCAUAGGCCAUGUUUUUGCUCCUAUACAUAGGCAUGAAUUUUACAAUGUGAAAAUACAUUAAAAUACAAUGCAUUUUCUAAUGUAACACAAAGCUAUCUGAAGUCACAAGGCCAUUCAGACCUCAAUAUCUUUGCCAGUAUUUCACCUUGAAUGCCAUAUUAAUUUUUGUGGAAUAUGAACCUAAAAUAAUAAAACUGUCCAAUAUUAUUUUAAUAUUAGACUUUCAACCUACAUACUAUACUAGAUAUAUCUGAACAGCGCUCUCUGUAGCCUUCUCAGACCACAAGCUCUCUGAGCAAGGAUCGUGUUCUUCUCUUUGUUUAUGUGUUUCCUAAACUGUUGCAGUCUACAAAAAAACUUUUCUACUGUAAGACAUUUGUUGAACUCUGAAAAACCCUCAUUUAUUUUAUCUCAAUAUGUAGUAUAUAUAUAUAAAAACUGAUAAAUAUAUAUAUUUGCUCACAUGAAGAGAUUGUGCUACUUCAUGGUAAUUCUUCCUGACUUAGUCAGACUCUCCAUAUAAUACUACAUUCUUUUUUCUCUUCCCAACAUUUAAAUGUAAUGCUAACUGCUAUUUUUAAUGUACUUUUUAUAAUAAGAAAAAGC